This 484-nucleotide ribosomal RNA is filed under the name uncultured bacterium. RNAcentral's name for it is "partial 16S ribosomal RNA". It matches the Rfam family "Bacterial small subunit ribosomal RNA", at positions 30 to 507 of the family's 1533-position model. The record is from RNAcentral.
AUUGAACGCUGGCGGCAGGCCUAACACAUGCAAGUCGAGCGGAUGAAGGGAGCUUGCUCCUGGAUUCAGCGGCGGACGGGUGAGUAAUGCCUAGGAAUCUGCCUGGUAGUUGGGGAUAACGUCCGUAAACGGGCGCUAAUACCGCAUACGUCCUGAUGGGGAAAGUGGGGGAUCUUCGGACCUCACGCUAUCAGAUGAGCCUAGGUCGGAUUAGCUAGUUGGUGGGGUAAAGGCCUACCAAGGCGACGAUCCGUAGCUGGUCUGAGAGGAUGAUCAGUCACACUGGAACUGAGACACGGUCCAGACUCCUACGGGAGGCAGCAGUGGGGAAUAUUGGACAAUGGGCGAAAGCCUGAUCCAGCCAUGCCGCGUGUGUGAAGAAGGUCUUCGGAUUGUAAAGCACUUUAAGUUGGGAGGAAGGGCAGUAAGUUAAUACAUUGCUGUUUUGACGUUACCAACAGAAUAAGCACCGGCUAACUUCGUG